AACGCGUAUGCAAUCUACCUUGUACAGAGGGAUAGCCCAGAGAAAUUUGGAUUAAUACCUCAUAGUAUCUUCGGAAGGCAUCUUCUGAUUAUUAAAGUUCCAACGGUACAAGAUGAGCAUGCGUCCCAUUAGCUAGAUGGUAAGGUAACGGCUUACCAUGGCAACGAUGGGUAGGGGUCCUGAGAGGGAGAUCCCCCACACUGGUACUGAGACACGGACCAGACUCCUACGGGAGGUAGCAGUGAGGAAUAUUGGUCAAUGGAGGCAACUCUGAACCAGCCAUGCCGCGUGCAGGAAGACGGUCCUAUGGAUUGUAAACUGCUUUUAUACAGGAAGAAACACUGCUACGUGUAGCAGCUUGACGGUACUGUAGGAAUAAGCAUCGGCUAACUCCGUGCCAGCAGCCGCGGUAAUACGGAGGAUGCGAGCGUUAUCCGGAAUCAUUGGGUUUAAAGGGUCCGUAGGCGGCCUUAUAAGUCAGUGGUGAAAUCUCCUAGCUCAACUAGGAAACUGCCAUUGAUACUGUAGGGCUUGAAUUAUUGGGAAGUAACUAGAAUAUGUAGUGUAGCGGUGAAAUGCUUAGAUAUUACAUGG
RNAcentral lists this ribosomal RNA (594 nucleotides) under uncultured bacterium. RNAcentral's name for it is "bacterial SSU rRNA". It matches the Rfam family "Bacterial small subunit ribosomal RNA", at positions 112 to 704 of the family's 1533-position model. The record is from RNAcentral.